This 64-nucleotide non-coding RNA is filed under the name unclassified sequences. The record is from RNAcentral.
GCUGGUCACCGGUGGUGGUCUACUGAGGGGAUCUCCCCACGGUGCACUUCUACUGUUGGCCAGU